Molecule: unclassified non-coding RNA, 482 nt
Filed under: Hevea brasiliensis (rubber tree)
Lineage: Eukaryota; Viridiplantae; Streptophyta; Magnoliopsida; Malpighiales; Euphorbiaceae
Source: RNAcentral
ACUUUCUACUUAAACUUACCAAAAACAGUAUCUUUUGAUAGAUAAGCUAUCAUGCCAUGGUUAGACAAACAUGGUUAGAUAAAUUAUGCACAGUUUCAAUUGCUAUUCCUUAGUCCUAAGCUUCAAGAAUCAGGAUAAGCAAAUGAUAUCCUUGUUUACAAAGCAAGAAAUCAUUUUAAAGCCAAAUUUUCCAGAAAUAAAGCCCAGAGACAAACCAAAAAUUAUAAAGUCAGAUACAUGUUCUCUAAGUUCCACCAACAUGAAAAACAACUUGAGUCUCAGACUACAAAUUGCAUGUUUCUCACAGAUUUUAACAAGUGAUAUUGUUGGACUGGAGGACCCAAAAGUACAACCAAUUAGAAGCUCAACUUCAGAACCUACUUGAGGACUAUGCUCAAAGACAACUUAAUCAAGCAAAAUGAGUCAUCAAACUAAGAGUUGCACAGGGAAUUGAUCAAACCAGAACUUAAACUCAGGAAGGC